AUCAGUUAGAUUUUAUGUUCACAUGAAAUUUUUUUGGUUGUACAAUUUCAAGGUCAAUUUUAUGGUCUUUGACAAAAUUAUUUUGGGUGUGGUCAAAAGCUAUUCUUAGUCCAAUCUACGUCAAAAAAGGGGCCAACAUCGGACUAAUUGCAACACAAGUUUUUUUUCAACAGUUUCUUGCACAGAAAGUAUUCCUCUAUAACAUAAUAAAUGUCUAAAAAAAUCGGAGAAGACAAACACCAUGAAAAACGGGGUGUAGACAGGCUGCUUUGUCACGACGGUUGAAAAAUCCAUCCCAUGGGUUCGUGUCAAACACACGUGAUUCGACAAGGCAGUUUUCUAGAGGCGAUUUUCUACUGCCCGUUUCACCGAUUGGCAUCAUUAGAGUGCUACAGUAACUUUCUCCUCCCUUAGUAUGGGGGAACUACAAUCGCUCAAUAUUGCCUCAAAUGGAUUGAAACUUCACAGGGAUGUAAAUAACAUUAAAACAUUAACAGGUAAAAAAAA
Long non-coding RNA from Nematostella vectensis (starlet sea anemone), 507 nucleotides. RefSeq lists it as uncharacterized. The record is from RefSeq and is a predicted model, not a curated record. NCBI's taxonomy places the organism in Eukaryota, Metazoa, Cnidaria, Anthozoa, Actiniaria, Edwardsiidae. The transcript is spliced from 2 exons.